GUUCAACAGAUUCAGGAAGGAGAGAAAUCUUCCACCUGUCAUUAAUCACAUGAUCACAGAUGAGCUGCUCAGGAACAUGGCUGUAGACACUGACACUCACUUCCUGCUCAUCACAAGACUGAGUUAGCCACUAGCUGGUUUAGGACCAGUGACAUUAUUCUUCCUGGGAGUUUGUAGAGUCAGUGAACCUGAGGAGUAAAGUUAAAACUGGACCAAGAGCUGAAGCUGAGAAGAAGCCGAGCCGUGAGCUGCAGCUGCCAGAGGCCAUUUGAAGUUCUGUGUCUUGGCCAGGGACAGACACGCAGGACUUUGGCACACAGACUGAAAGAGGCUGACAUCGAACCACCGACCUUCUGGUCAGUGGAUGACCCGCUCUGCCUCCUGAGCCACAGCCUGUCUGCAUCCUCUUCACAACAGUAUCAGAAAAGACUUGAUGGACUCGAUGGAGCAUUUCCAAGGCUCCUUCCUGCCCCUGACGAACAGACGUGACUUCCAGCAUCUCACCCAGACGUGUGGGAGUCAUGGAGAAGGUGAGGGACGGCAGACCUGCGACACAGAACAUACAUUGUCUGCUGGGACCAGGACACACAGCUCUCCAGUGAUCGAUGGAGACAACACCAGUAAUGGCCUUAACAACCAGUCAAGGAGGAGGAUCAGUGGCCAUCGAUCGGAGCAGCCGGGGGAACCAGUGUAUGUCCG
Long non-coding RNA from Hippoglossus stenolepis (Pacific halibut), 699 nucleotides. RefSeq lists it as uncharacterized. The transcript has 4 exons. Lineage: Eukaryota; Metazoa; Chordata; Actinopteri; Pleuronectiformes; Pleuronectidae. The record is from RefSeq and is a predicted model, not a curated record.